Dermochelys coriacea (leatherback sea turtle) is the source of this 657-nucleotide long non-coding RNA. RefSeq lists it as uncharacterized. NCBI's taxonomy places the organism in Eukaryota, Metazoa, Chordata, Testudines, Dermochelyidae. The transcript is spliced from 3 exons. The record is from RefSeq and is a predicted model, not a curated record.
UGGUCAGCUCCAGGCCACCCCAUUACAUACUCCAAAAUGUUUCCUUUCCCCCCCUUCUUCCUCCAAAAUAUAGCAUUUCUCCCCCAACAUGACGUUGGUCUGAGAUACAUGACAAAGGCAAUACUCAAUGCUGGACUUGUAACAGUAUAAUGGCCAAAUCCUGAGUAGUGUAAACUGUCAUAGCUCUAUUAAAACCAACAGAACUACUCCAAUUUAUACCAACUGAGGAUCUGGUCCAUCGUGUUCAUAUAUCUCUGAGAGGCAGCAUGACCUAGUGGACAGGGCUCGGAACUGGGAAUCAGGAGGUGCAGCUCCGCCGGUGAUCCGUUGUAUGACCUUGAGCAAAUCACUUCACCUCUGGUUCCCCUCCCACCUUUCAUCUAUUUAGACAAAUAUCUUUGGGGCACAGUCUGAAUCUCACUGCACAUGUGCAGCACCUCGCACGAUGGAGCCCUGAUCCUGACUGGGGCCUCUAGGUGCUAAAGUAAUUGCAUUAUAAUAAUCAUCAUCUCUGUGUGCAUAUGCACGUACAAACCAGUGAAUGUGUGUAUGUGUUCACUUGUGUGUGUGUGUUCCUAGCUUUGUGUGGGUGUUUAUCUCCCUAUGUGUAUGUGCAGGGCAGGGGGAGAUGGCAAUCAAAGAGUUAUUAAAUGCCAA